Molecule: ribosomal RNA, 492 nt
Filed under: Triticum aestivum (bread wheat)
Lineage: Eukaryota; Viridiplantae; Streptophyta; Magnoliopsida; Poales; Poaceae
Description: partial small subunit ribosomal RNA
Source: RNAcentral
AUGCUGGCCGCGCUCGUGCUGGUGGCCGCGGCGACGUGCGCCGACGCCGGGGAGAGCUACGGCGCGUCCAUGUUCACGGUGACGGGCACCGUGCUGUGCCAGGACUGCACCAAGAACUGGAACGCCUACGCCUACAACGCCAAGCCCAUCGCCGGCAGCGUGGUGGCGGUGACGUGCCUGGACGAGCACACGGGGCGGACGGUGAUCCACCGCACGGACACGACGGACGAGGAGGGGGUCUUCAAGGUGGAGGUGCCGUACGCCCACGACGGCGGCAGCUGCCGCCUCGACCCGGCCCACUGCCUCGUCCGCCUCGUCAGGUCGGGGGACAAGGGCUGCGCCGUGCUCACCAACUUCAACGGCGGCACGACCGGCGAGAAGCCGUACCGCCCCUCGCGGGUCAGCCCCACCGAGGUCGCCUACUCGGCAGGGCCCUACUACGCCACCUUCACGCAGUGCGACGUCGACGGCGACGACAAGAGCUGCUCCUGA